AGUCCCUAAAACAACAGGUUUAUUUAACCUCUAAACUUAAAGAGCAGCAGUACAUGUUCUUGCAUACCACUAGAUGGUGACUUUUGUAAUGAGUUGUUGACUUUUAUGCUAACGUACCUAUCUCUUUUCAUCAAAAUGAAAGCAAAUCAUGAUGUUGCUGUCUGUACUGUUAAAAACUUAGCCCUAAAUAUACUUCCAUUAGCAACAUUCUUCUGGCUGUAAGAGUCUAUGGAAAAGCUAUGGAAAAGUAAGGUGAACGUAGUCCCUGCCAGAUUCUGUUUGGGGUUUUUAACAUCUCUAUAUGGUUCAAAACACUUUUUUGUUAACAUGGGCUGCAUGUUGCAUUCAAACGAUUAGGCUAAAAUUCACAUGCUUCCCAAGCCACAAAGCAUCCAAGAUUUUCUUAAAUUGUGUAACAGUGUGUGCACCAUCUUGUAUGAGAAAACAGUAAGUCUUCCCAGGUCAGGCAAAACCAUCUCCUCCAGUGCUUGCUGUGUUCCCACACGGAGCAGCCUCUCAUUUUAGCUCUCUACUUUUGAAGGCUACUUCAAAAUGAUACUUGGCACCUUUCCCUACAUGGUUGCAGUUACAAGAUCAAACAAAAGCAAUUUGUUUGGCAGCUGUAGUCUUGCUCUUCAACUGGACAGGGGAUCAGACUCUUGUCAACGGACAGGCUGUACCAAAGAGCCGCUUCCCUCCAGUGACACUUGUUGCUAUUAAUAAUCUUCACCUGGCAUAAAGGGCAAGCAAGCCUUUAGCUCCAAAUAAAUGGUAUAAGUUCAUUCAUGACUAUGCACUGAAUAAGGGAAAUAGCAUUCGUCUCUGUUCUGUUAAUGAAUUAUCCAGACUGGAACUAUUCAGAGCUGAAUCUGUCUUUUUUGUACAGCACGCUUUGCAUUUGUACAAAACGUCAACAGAGGGGCUCUAUUGCUGACUGUUUAGCCCAGGCCACCAAUCUUUACCUUAACCACAACACAGCUAAUGAUGACAAUUCAUUGCAACAAGUGACAGCUUCCUGUAGUUUGCUCAUUAUUUAGCAGACUGCUGCAUACAGGUUAUGGUUUUCAAAAGCAACAAGAGUCAGAUACUGUUGCAGGGCUCAGUUCCUCAUAAUCAGACCCCCUUGCUACGUGGACCUAAGUCAAUGAUCAUGAAUCACUUUUGGAGUGUGUAACUACCUUUUGGAGUGUGUAACUAACCUUUUUUGUAAGCAAUUAGUGAAUGGUUUGUAGUGAAUAUUGCUGUAAUUCUUACAGGAAGAGAGAAUCAUAGCCCAAGAGUGUGAACACAUAUUGUCUUGUUUUAUUUGUUUGUAAGGAUGACCUACUGGAUGACCUAACCAUUAAAGGGUAUCUCUUUUUUCCACCAACUCAGAUUUUUCCUUCUCUUCAAACAAACUUCAGCCUUCAAACUGGCAUUUGUUUUCUGGGAGCAGUAACAAAAGCUAAAUCUGUUUUGUACAAAUGCUUAUGAAAAACCAGACGAGGGCUUGACUGGAUCAAAAUGGGUCUGAAGAUUCACCAAGGCGUCUGGGAACCCCUCUCCUGCUCUUCACCUGCCUCUGCUGUUGAUCUGUCUGCUACAGCAAGGCCUUGUUCAUGGCUGUACUCCAAACAUUUACUGGUGCACUAUUUAUUAAUGUCUUGCCAGGAUGAAACAUUUCUGAAACAAGAUUAACAUCAGUAUUUACAAGUAGAGGCUUAGCUCUAGAAAUAGCUCAAUCAAAAGAUAUCAAAACAGGCAACUACUCAGGGGAAAUUAUUUACAAAGGACACAUUCCCCCUCCCCAGUUACACUUUAUGUUUUUCUCAUAGCAUCAGGUUCACUUUCCAGUUCAAAGCUUACAUGGAGAAAAUAGGUUUGCCUCCUAGAAUACAGCUCUCUCCAAUUUCUGCUGCCUUUCUGCCUGCAAAACUGCCUAUUGAUUUCUUAACCUGUAUAUUUCUCUUCUAAUGACUAAUGACUAAGCCUUGAGCUGCACGAAUGCUGCCAAAACAGGGUGUGUUUACGCCACACCGAACUGGUUAUCAAAGGAAUUAUAUAUUUUUAAUUGGAAUAACCUCAGAUCAUGUCUUGCUAAGCAGAGAUUGCUCUUGUAAUGAGCGAUGUGGGGACAAGAGGGAGGGGAAGAAGUGUCCUGGGAGAGCAGGAGGUCUGGAGUUGCGCCGGAAGGAAUCAUGCCAAGCCUAUGCUCCUCUGCCCAAAAACUGGUGAUGACCCGUGCAAUGAUCUGUAUCAUAAAUGCGAGCUGCAUUUUUAAAUCUGGCCCUCUAUCCUGACAUAGUGUGUCUCAGGGAGAUGAACCGGUCCUCUCUUUCCGUCUCUGUGGAAACAACAAGCAACAUUUUGGCUUUCAGGAAUGUUGAAAGUCUGCAGUGAAGCCUGACAGUGGCUAAACCUUGGGGAAGAUCAUCUAAGUGGCUUAUCCUUAUUUACCUUUGAUCUCGUGAAGAAUAAGACUGCACAUGCACAUAGAGGACUAGACGUGCUGUCCAGAUAAUCACACCACCAAAGCUUGGUUUGAACACAGUUAUGCAACUGGCCCCAAAUGAGAGCUCGUAAUGGGUGCCUGGAAAGAAGCAAAGGAAAUGAAAAGCUGGAUUUUCUCAAAGCUGCUGCAGAUCCCGGUGAUGCCAUUUUCCUUACCCUGUGGGCUCAUAAACAGAGCUCUCCCUGCCUUGAUUACAGGCUCUCAGCUUCUUCUUUAGCUCUGCUGUACUGGAUAUCAACAGUUAAAACAGCCCCUGGGAACCUGCUCCUACAGAGAAAUACUCCAGCCAACAGACUACAGGGACUUUCUGCAGCUUCUUCUUUCCUUGUAUUUUAUAUGAAAAAACUGUUUAACCAGAGGGAUUCUGCAAGUCCCGUUCCAGAGUGGGGUCUCAUCCGGUGAUUAUACAGCUCUCCAGGGAGGUGAGAAGGUGUUUCAAUGCCCUCAGCACCAGGGCAGCACAUUCAAUGUCAGCAAUGCAGCAAAGUGCAGCAUCAGGCCAGAUCUGCGCUAAGGCAGUGCAAAGUUUUGUGGAGGCUCCUGGUAGCAGCAAAAACGUGGAGACACUAGCUUAACAACUGAGUGAUGGAGUCUUCUAACCUAGGCUGAUCCUGACAUGGAAAAUGCCCCGCCGCCCAUAUGUAUGUAUGUAUAUAUGUAUUAAGUAUACAUUUAUUUACACACACACACACACACACACACACACACACAGAAUCCUUACUCAUGAUGAGGUAUAGAGGAAAGGCUUUGAGGGCCUUGAUAUUGAGAAUAGGCAGCUUGUUUGACAUGACAUAGGAGCAGGAGCCAGCGAAGGGAUUCAAAGACCUGACCGAAGCUCCUCUGCUGAAACUCUGGCAUCCCGGGAGCAAAACAGCAGACAAAGGUCUAUGAGCUGCCGCAAGGGCUGGGAGUUUGUACUGCUGUAAGUUUGGGACAAGUAUGUUAUUUAUGAGAGCUGCAGGACAAAGUCAGACAUCCCAGUCACCCCAAACAAGUUUUCAUAUAUCCUAUAUCCUGCACCCACAGCAUUUCUCUUAUGUUUGUGAUGCCUGCUUUACAGAAAAAAAGUAUUUUGUAUGGUUUUUAGAGUGCAAUCUUUUCUAUUUCUGCUCUUUUUCUUUGUACCUCCCUCUCUCUGUUAACUAUAAGCAACAUAUUCAUUUAGCAUACUGCAGAGAUGUGUCCCUUUGUUCAGUUUACAAAUUCUCCACCAAGAAUGUGUUUG
This is a long non-coding RNA of Struthio camelus australis, 3716 nucleotides long. RefSeq lists it as uncharacterized. NCBI's taxonomy places the organism in Eukaryota, Metazoa, Chordata, Aves, Struthioniformes, Struthionidae. The record is from RefSeq and is a predicted model, not a curated record.